UACGGAGGGUGCGAGCGUUGUCCGGAAUCACUGGGCGUAAAGGGCGCGUAGGCGGCCCGUUAAGCGUGUGGUGAAAGCUCGGGGCUCAACUCCGAGUCGGCCAUGCGAACUGGCGGGCUUGAGCACUGUAGAGGCAGGUGGAAUUCCGGGUGUAGCGGUGGAAUGCGUAGAGAUCCGGAAGAACACCGGUGGCGAAGGCGGCCUGCUGGGCAGUAGCUGACGCUGAGGCGCGACAGCGUGGGGAGCAAAC
Molecule: ribosomal RNA, 250 nt
Filed under: uncultured bacterium
Lineage: Bacteria
Description: partial 16S ribosomal RNA
Rfam family: Bacterial small subunit ribosomal RNA
Source: RNAcentral